GCAUAAGAUGUUUACGGCAGACUUCUGCUUUUGCUUCCUCAGGUUCCACCAACCUUCCUAGUCAAAAUAACCGGGAGAGUUGGUGGGUGAGCCGCUGGGCGUACGGCUGUCCAAUGUGUGGUGGAAGAUGGACUCGAGUUGCAUAGCGGGCUUCAUUGCAAAAUUGUCACCUGUGAGUUUCUUCUUGGUGGAGGAAAUAUACACAUGAUCGUGGUUAACUGAAGAAACUAAAUAUAGAUGAAAUGCUGAUUGGAAUUGUACAGGUAGAGAUGUAGAUGUGAGUUUCUUCUUGGUUGAGGGAAGAAACACAUGAUUGUGGUUAAGUAAAGAAACUGAAUGAAAAUGAAAUGCUGACUGGAAUUGUACAGGGAAGAAGAGGUGUAGGUUUACCUGACAGUGACAGGUGUGUUGUGUUUUAUGCAGUCAUUGUUGUUGAUCGAAUAAAACUGGAAAAAACUAGCUCUAGUUGUCAUCAAGACAUUUCAUUGACAUUAAACUCUUCAUAACACUUUGAUGUUGCAAGUGAGGGUGGUUUACAUCAUAGAACAAAUGAUGAGUGGAAGGAAGAGUUGUGUAUGUCUCUUUAUGUACUGCAGGGUUUAUGAAGAUAAAACAAUUUUUGAGUUAUUUAUUUACAGACCUUAAAACAUUUCAAGUAUCUCAACAUAGGUUUCUAACAUUUUAAAUGAUUAUCAAGAUCACUUAUGUAUUAUAUAAAUUUAUGGGUUUAUGAAGAUAAAACAAUUUUUGAGUUAUUUAUUUACAGACCUUAAAACAUUUCAAGUAUCUCAACAUAGGUUUCUAACAUUUUAAAUGAUUAUCAAGAUCACUUAUGUAUUAUAUAAAUUUAGUAAUCUUGACCAUAGAAACACUAAAUAUUAUACAAAUUUAUAGUCAACAUUAUUUAUUAUAAAUUAAGAAAAC
RNAcentral lists this long non-coding RNA (924 nucleotides) under Lathyrus oleraceus (garden pea). Its description in RNAcentral is "Pisum sativum (pea) long non-coding RNA (PSAT_LNC003950)". Lineage: Eukaryota; Viridiplantae; Streptophyta; Magnoliopsida; Fabales; Fabaceae. The record is from RNAcentral.